This 73-nucleotide transfer RNA is filed under the name Elizabethkingia anophelis. Its description in RNAcentral is "tRNA-Asp". It matches the Rfam family "tRNA". From Rfam's summary of the family: Transfer RNA (tRNA) molecules are approximately 80 nucleotides in length. Their secondary structure includes four short double-helical elements and three loops (D, anti-codon, and T loops). The record is from RNAcentral. Lineage: Bacteria; Pseudomonadati; Bacteroidota; Flavobacteriia; Flavobacteriales; Weeksellaceae. RNAcentral also lists the same sequence under 3 other names.
GAUCCGGUAGUUCAGCUGGUUAGAAUGCCGCCCUGUCACGGCGGAGGUCGCGGGUUCGAGUCCCGUCCGGAUC